CUCAACACAGCCUCUCUGUAAUGUUUAUGCAAAUCUGCAUCUCCUCUUGUAAUAUUAGCAGCGUUCUGAUCUAGAGAGGAAACACUUCUCAUUAGUCUUCCUUCAACACAAACAUGUUUGCUUCAGCUCCACUGCUGCUGCUGGCUCUCGCCCCCUAUGUGUUCUGUGCUACUGAGCUCAUCCAGCCAGACUCACUGCUUAUAAAGCCAGGAGAGACUUUAACCAUCACCUGUAAAGUGUCUGGAGCUUCUAUCACUGAUAGUAGCAACCACUUUGGAACAUCUUGGGUUCAACAACCUGCAGGAAAAGCUUUAGAAUGGAUCAACACCAUGUAUCAUGAUGGAAAUAGUCAUCAAAAAGAUUCACUUAAAGACAAGUUUGUGGUCUCUCGAGACACUUCCAGUAACUCUGUGACCUUACGGGGACAGAACAUGCAGACUGAAGACACAGCUGUGUAUUACUGCGCUCGUUAUCCACACAGUGACACGACAAGCUGCAGUGCUGCACAAAAACCUCAUCACAAUUCACUUCUUUAAUUAAAUAACAACUAC
Non-coding RNA from Tachysurus fulvidraco (yellow catfish), 551 nucleotides. The record is from the annotation of a RefSeq genome assembly. NCBI's taxonomy places the organism in Eukaryota, Metazoa, Chordata, Actinopteri, Siluriformes, Bagridae.